GAAACAAAAGAAUAAAAAGAGGAAAGAAACAGAAUAGCAGGGAACGAAACAGAGAAGGGAGAAAGGAAGAAAAGAAAAAGGGAAAAAUAAGGUUUGAAAGGUUCCAAGUUAAUUUGCUAAUGUUGUCUCGGGAAACCUCGGCUAAGCAAGGAAAAAAUGGCAAAGACAAAGGGAGUUAGCUCGAGAAAAUACGGUUAAUAGGAGUCUAGUACCCGAUCCAGCAUCUGAACGAUCCCGACUCCAGCAAAUUUUGGGUGAUGUUUUCUUUCUUAAUUGAAAGUGGCAUGUACUAGGUGUUGUAUAAGUUAUAUAGAUAUACUUGUAAUGUUGGUUAUAAGAAUUGUAUACCACAUUUUGUUAUUAGUUUGAUAAAAUGGUAAAUAUUAUAUUAUAUAAUUUCGUAUUAAGUUGGAAUGAAAAAUGAAUGAAGUUAUUAGUUAA
Molecule: long non-coding RNA, 441 nt
Organism: Gossypium arboreum
Lineage: Eukaryota; Viridiplantae; Streptophyta; Magnoliopsida; Malvales; Malvaceae
Exons: 3
Source: RefSeq, a predicted model, not a curated record